RNAcentral lists this ribosomal RNA (341 nucleotides) under uncultured bacterium. RNAcentral describes it as "bacterial SSU rRNA". It matches the Rfam family "Bacterial small subunit ribosomal RNA", at positions 186 to 507 of the family's 1533-position model. The record is from RNAcentral.
AUACGAGUCUAAGGAUGAAAGCGGGGGAUCGCAAGACCUCGCGCGAUUGGAGCGGCCGAUAUCAGAUUAGGUAGUUGGUGAGGUAAAAGGCUCACCAAGCCAACGAUCUGUAGCUGGUCUGAGAGGACGACCAGCCACACUGGAACUGAGACACGGUCCAGACUCCUACGGGAGGCAGCAGUGGGGAAUUUUGGACAAUGGACGCAAGUCUGAUCCAGCCAUUCCGCGUGCAGGAUGAAGGCCCUCGGGUUGUAAACUGCUUUUGUACGGAACGAAAAGGUUUCUAUUAAUACUAGGAGCUCAUGACGGUACCGUAAGAAUAAGCACCGGCUAACUACGUG